This is a long non-coding RNA of Capsicum annuum, 2273 nucleotides long. RefSeq lists it as uncharacterized. The record is from RefSeq and is a predicted model, not a curated record. Lineage: Eukaryota; Viridiplantae; Streptophyta; Magnoliopsida; Solanales; Solanaceae. The transcript is spliced from 3 exons.
CAAUUUUUCAGAAUUGGGUUCAAUUCUUUCUCUCUCUAAAACAGAGAGAAAACAUUUCUGUUGCCAUCUCCGUUCUCUCUAAAACAGACACAUCUCAACGUUCUCUCUCGAUUCUCACAAACACCUCCGUCACUAUCUUCGUCUUCUUGUGUUGUCAUCACCAUCUCCUUUGCUAUCUUCGAACUUAGAUCUCCAAGAUUCAGUGGCUCCAAGGAAAAGAAGAGCAACAAUUGUUGUUGUACUAAAAAUACAAGAAGGCGAAUUAGUAAACAGAGACAAAUAGAAGAAGAAAAUGAAGAAAGCACAAGAUUGGAGCUGUCUAUAAGAGAAGAUGGAAGUAAAAGGUUGGAGAAGUCCAUAGAAGAAGAAGGAAGAACAAGGUUGGAGAAGUCUACGGAAGAAAAAAGGCGAAGAAACAGGUGGAAUAGAUGCUUCUUCCAUCAAAGCAGAUGCCUCAAAUGAUAAAUCCAAAAGUAAUGAAAAUGCAGAAGGUGAAAAUAGAGGAUUCGAGGAUGAACAGAGAAUGAAACAUCAGCACGAUAAACCUAUCUUGGAGGAGGAGACAUCUCAUACUGUCGAGUACUCUCCGUCCAGUCUUUCACCCGAUACCUAACUUGUCAAGUUUAUUAGGUAUUUGGAUUACAACUUUAAGACACUGAUUGAAAGGCAUCCAAGUUUGAUGGGCUCUGUUAAUGUUAAGUCUGGGCUGGGUAAGUCUUUUUCUGAGUUUAGAAAGAUUUAGAAGAUAAAAAAUUUACGAAGUUCUUUAAAUCUUCGAUUUUUGGGAAGUACUUAAACCUACCUAACAAUAUCAAUAUAAGAUUUCAAAUGAAUUUAGUUUACCAACUUCUUCAACGUAAAUUUAUAAGUCAUAGAAAAGAGGAAGUUUGGAUAAACUAUUGUGGCAUACCGGUUUGUUUUGGAAUAAGAGAGUUGGCGAUCAUCACUGGCUUGAAUUGUCAUUUACCAGUUGUGUAUGAUGAAGAAAAUAUGUCAACUACGACUUUGAGAAGGAGACAACAAAUUAUUGAUUUGGUGGGAAAGACUUGCAAAGAGAAGGAGUUGAUUGACCACAUCAAAUCUGUGGAUGUUCAUAAAAGUGUAAAGAAGUCAUUGUUCUUGCUCUAUUUUGUGCACAAUUUUCUUUGUGCAAAAGAUUUGAACACGAAACUUCCGUCUGAAUUGGUUUUGCUCUCAGCUGAUAGAGAUGCAUUUUCUGCCUAUACAUGGGAGCGUGUAAGUUAUGAUCUUACAAUUGAGUACCUAGUGAAGGCGGUCAAACCAAAUGUGAAGACCUCCAAUCUUUAUAGUUUUCCAUGGGCUUUCAUGGUAAAUUUUAUUUUAUUCUAUAUUUUUUAAUUAUUUUUGGGUCCAUUCAUUAUUCUGAGUUAUCUCUCUUAAUAUCUUUAUUCUUGUGUUGGGCAUUUGAGGAUAUUCCUCCAUUCGAAAAACAAUUCAAGGGUUUUUCAGAAGAAAUAUCUUCACCGAGAAUUCUUAGAUAGCUUUCGGCUACUAAUAACAAAACUGUGAGAUUAAUGAGUUGUUUGAGGCCCCCAAAGACUCGGUGAACAAAAAGACGGGAAAGUCGAUGCAAAGAUAAUAGAUAUUACUCCAGCUUUCCAUGUUGUGGAAGUGAUAAAAACAUUCAGGAGAUACUGCAGGAUAUGGUAGUUCGGACUUCGUGAGAAACAACAGUUCUAUUGGAAAAAAAUAUCCGACCUCGUGCUUUUACAAUUGGGCUUUUGAUCUCUAUAUAACCAUUGUAUUAUAUCCAGAAAAGAAAUGUUGGGUCUGGUGGUUGUUAAGUAGAUCGAUCAAAAGCUAAUUUAACUAACUGCCCAUUGUUAAAUUUACAGGCUCGUUAUGACCGUAAAAGGACUCGAUUUCUAACAACCUUCAAGUCAGAUGAUGGGUGUGGAGAGUCAGCAUAAUGGAGAAUGAAGAAUGUCUGCAAUCUCGAAAACAAACACAUGAACAAAGGAGCGGAAUAAUGAGUACAACACAAGACAAUUGAAUAUCCUUCCCUGGAAAUUACGCUGAGAACACUCUUAGAUAAACUUCUAGUUUCACUACUUGCUUAGAAGAUAUCAUUUUGAAAUUUCGCAACCAACUCAGCUAAAAGCUUUGUGUGUUAAAAAUGCAAGGAACCAAAGAAGGGAGAAAAGGGCAACAAGCAAUUGUCGUUUUUUUUAAAUGAUGGGGCAGCAAAAUGGGGUUAAAAUGGCUCUCAAUGGAUUGAAAUGACUUUCAAUAAUUUAUUAAGCAUUGGGGGC